AAAGGGAAAAGGAAUUGGAGAGU
This 23-nucleotide non-coding RNA is filed under the name Cricetulus griseus (Chinese hamster). The record is from RNAcentral. Lineage: Eukaryota; Metazoa; Chordata; Mammalia; Rodentia; Cricetidae.